UUUAAAGUUAUAACUAAUCAUAUCCUGAAUUUUGUUGACUUACAAAAUAGCGUGUCAAAUGACGUUAUAAUUUUGUUAAUUUAAAAUAAAAAAUUUAAUGUCGGAAUACAAUUAGAGUAGUAUAAAAAUUGGAAUUUAAUUAGCGAAUUAUAAAAUAAUAGAGUGCAAUUGUAAAAAUAAAAAAAGAAAAAAUAUUUUUAUGAUUAAUUCAAAUAUUUUUUGGUUCAUAGUUAUUUUUAGAGUUUUAAAUGCCCAAAAAUGUGAUAAAUAUAUUUAUUUUCUGUAAAAUAUUCUAGAAAUAUUUUUGUUGUUGCCGAGCUAAACAAAGAAAUAAGGAAAAGUAGCAUAAUAGUUUGGGCAUGGACAUUCUGGAUUGGCUCUUUUCCUGUAGUGCAGCUUUAUUGAGAUGGGGUAAUGAGUUGCGAAACGUCCACAAGCAUGAGUUGGCUAUUGCAUACAAGUCAUGUGACAAUUAAGGGGCUCUUGUUUACUGGUUGAUGUUAAUCGGUUCAUGGAGGGCAAAGACCUUUUAGCUUAAAGAAGAUGAUAGAAACACCCGAUUUUUUCAUCUGGCUGCCACAAAUCGAAAGAAAAAGAACCCGUUCUCAUGGCUCAAAGAUUUUACGGGUCAAUGGGUUGAGGAUUCUGCAGAAUUACAAGAUGUUUGUUGGUGUUCCGGGCAGAUCAAGGGGAGGCUAUGGUGGUUAGAGGGGUGAAUGAGACUUAUGCACGAGUUUCAGGUCAACUCAUUAACAUGUCUAAAUCAUCAUGUUGCUUUUCGAGGAAUUUUAAUGUUAAGCAGAAAAAUAUUUUUUGUGGUAUUCUUGGAGUUGAAGAGAAGGAAGAUUUGGAGAAUUAUUUGGGGCUGCCUACUCGGGUGGGGUUGAAUAAGAAAGAAAUUCUUGGAUUCAUCAAAUACCGUCUUGUGCAACGUUUGAACUCAUGGAAGUAUAGAUAUCUUUCUCGGGCCGGUAAAGAGGUAAUACUCAAAACAGUUUUGCAAGCACUACCUAAUUAUGUAAUGAACUUGUUCUUGUUACCCAAGACGUUUUGUAAUGAAUUGCAGUAACUCAUGAAUAACUUCUGAUAGAGCAAAGAUGCGAAUCA
Manihot esculenta (cassava) is the source of this 1107-nucleotide long non-coding RNA. RefSeq lists it as uncharacterized. The record is from RefSeq and is a predicted model, not a curated record. Lineage: Eukaryota; Viridiplantae; Streptophyta; Magnoliopsida; Malpighiales; Euphorbiaceae. The transcript is spliced from 2 exons.